This is a non-coding RNA of Pelobates cultripes (western spadefoot toad), 210 nucleotides long. The record is from the annotation of a GenBank genome assembly. Lineage: Eukaryota; Metazoa; Chordata; Amphibia; Anura; Pelobatidae.
GAUGCACCAUUUUCUUUUAAAUUUCUAUUGAAGAUUCAGCAAAUUAUUCCAUAAUGAAUUUCAGACAAGGCAAUGUCAGGGUACUGGGAGGCAGGAGCCAUAUAGAAGUGUAAGUGGUUGUGGUGGUUAGGGAGCCCUACAUAUGUGUAAGUGGUUGUAAGUGAUUGUGUCGGCAAAGUGCUUCGGAUUUCUGAAAAGUGGCAAAAUGAG